UCCGGAGUAGCUCAGUGGUAGAGCGAUCGGCUGUUAACCGAUUGGUCGUAGGUUCGAGCCCUACCUCCGGAGCCA
RNAcentral lists this transfer RNA (75 nucleotides) under Verrucomicrobia bacterium LW23. Its description in RNAcentral is "tRNA-Asn". It matches the Rfam family "tRNA". From Rfam's summary of the family: Transfer RNA (tRNA) molecules are approximately 80 nucleotides in length. The record is from RNAcentral. RNAcentral also lists the same sequence under 1 other name. Lineage: Bacteria; Pseudomonadati; Verrucomicrobiota.